RNAcentral lists this ribosomal RNA (483 nucleotides) under uncultured Alphaproteobacteria bacterium. Its description in RNAcentral is "bacterial SSU rRNA". It matches the Rfam family "Bacterial small subunit ribosomal RNA", at positions 1 to 531 of the family's 1533-position model. Lineage: Bacteria; Pseudomonadati; Pseudomonadota; Alphaproteobacteria. The record is from RNAcentral.
GCCCUUAGAGUUUGAUCCUGGCUCAGAACGAACGCUGGCGGCAGGCCUAACACAUGCAAGUCGAGCGCACNCUUCGGAGUGAGCGGCGGACGGGUUAGUAACGCGUGGGAAUAUGCCCUUCUCUAAGGAAUAGCCACUGGAAACGGUGAGUAAUACCUUAUACGCCCUUCGGGGGAAAGAUUUAUCGGAGAAGGAUUAGCCCGCGUAAGAUUAGAUAGUUGGUGGGGUAAUGGCCUACCAAGUCUACGAUCUUUAGCUGGUUUUAGAGGAUGAUCAGCAACACUGGGACUGAGACACGGCCCAGACUCCUACGGGAGGCAGCAGUGGGGAAUCUUGGACAAUGGGCGCAAGCCUGAUCCAGCCAUGCCGCGUGAGUGAUGAAGGCCUUAGGGUCGUAAAGCNCUUUCGCCAGAGAUGAUAAUGACNGUAUCUGGUAAAGAAACCCCGGCUAACUCCGUGCCAGCAGCCGCGGUAAUAAGGGCG